UACAGAGUCUGCAAGCGUUAUUCGGAUUCACUGGGCGUAAAGGGUGCGCAGGCGGCCAAGUGUGUGAGGCGUGAAAGCCUGGGGCUUAACCCCAGAAUUGCACCUCAAACUACUUGGCUAGAGCAUUGGAGAGGGUAGCAGAAUUCAUGGUGUAGCAGUGAAAUGCGUAGAUAUCAUGAGGAAUACCAGAGGCGAAGGCGGCUACCUGGACAAUUGCUGACGCUCAGGCACGAAAGCGUGGGGAGCAAAAGGG
RNAcentral lists this ribosomal RNA (253 nucleotides) under uncultured bacterium. RNAcentral's name for it is "partial 16S ribosomal RNA". It matches the Rfam family "Bacterial small subunit ribosomal RNA", at positions 524 to 776 of the family's 1533-position model. The record is from RNAcentral.